GUAGAGGAAGAGCUACAUAUAUUCACUUCAUCGUUGCUAAGCUUAUUAGCUGAAUUCAGUAUUCGACCCCCGAAUGAUAAAUGCUUCCACAAUUGGUAGUGGUGCUAAGCGUUUAUACCAUCAUAUGCACUGGAAGAUAAGAUCUGCGAAUGCUGGUUUUGAUGAUAUAAACCAUCUGGUAGGAAAUCAACCUAGUAAUCUGACAGCCAGUUAUGGUCAUCAGCCCUCAAGUUCUUCAAAAAGUCAACUUUCUCAACCAUUCAUGGGAUCAAAAGUGAACGAUUUUCCUCAAUACAAUUACUAUCCAAUGGAUAUGCACGUCGAAGCAAGAUCUAACCAGUCAAGAUUUAUUCGAGACUAUGACAUGCCAUUAUCCAAUAAUGACAAGCCAAGGGAGGUUGGAGGUACUUCUGCUCCUAAUUUUUUUGAAGAUAAUACUGGUGAGUCAUACAGGAAAUUGAUGACUGAUUCCCAAUUUUAUAUGCCUCCCCCACAUGACAAUCAAGCAUCCUCUGUUUCAGAAGGUGAGGCGUCUCUACCUGGUAUAGAAGGAUUUCAAAUUAUUGGUGAGGCAAAACCAGGAAACACAUUAAGAGCAUGUGGUUAUCCAACAAAUGGUACAACUCUUUGUAUCUUUCAGUGGGUUCGUCAUCUUCAAGAUGGUACUAGGCAGUAUAUUGAAGGAGCCACUGUCCCGGAAUAUGUGGUAACUGCUGAUGAUGUUGACACACUUCUUGCUGUAGACUGCACACCCAUGGAUGACAAUGGUCGUCNNNNNNNNNNNNNNNNNNNNUACUUACUAUAAUGGUACAAUAAUGUUAUAGAUUAUUAUAUUAUGAUAAUAUCAUAAUAAUUAUUAUAACACAUUGUGAUAUAAAAUAUGAUAGUAGAAUAUUAUAAUACAAUACAAUGUUAUGUAAUAUUAGAAUUAUUUUAAUAUUAAUUUUUUAACUAAAAUACUGAUUUUAUAAUUGUAUACAGAAUAUUGAAUACUUACUAUAAUGGUACAAUAAUGUUAUAGAUUAUUAUAUUAUGAUAAUAUCAUAAUAAUUAUUAUAACACAUUGUAAUACAUUAAUAUCAUGUAUAUUAUAUAUUAUCAUACAAGACAAUAAUAUUAUAUUUUUGUUAUAAUAGCAAAAAAUGAUAAUAUUUUAUCUUAGUAACAAUAUAUAUAUAUAUUAUACUAUUAUCAUAAUUAUAAUAUUGAUUGCCAUGUUAUAAUAUUUACAUAAUAUAAUUAUAAUGUAUAUCUAAAUUCAGAGAUACAAUUUAAAGGGGUGAAAUGGGCAUGAAAAGUGGGCAUAAUUCUAUUCCAAGGACCCGUUUGAGAGAGCUUUUGGAGGGCCAAAAAGCACUUUUUGGCCCUCCAAAAGCACUUUGGUAAAAAAGAGUAUUUGGUAAAAAUUUCAGAAAGCUGUUUUAGCUUUUUUCAGAAACUAAAAAUAGCUUUUUAGGAGAAGUUCCAUUUUGGAGCUUUUUAAAAAAGCACUUUUAGGCUCCGUCGGAAAGCUAUUUUUUUAAUCAAAAUACCCGUGAUAAAAUAUAACAAUCACACAAAAUAUCUCUUUAUAAUUCUGAAAAAUUAAUUGCACUAAUAAUUAUAAUAUUUUAUAUCUUUAUUAUUGUAUUAUACUAUAAAUAUAAUAUUAUAUUACGUUAUAUCAUAAUGCAUUAAUAUGUUAUGUUAAAUAAUUUAAUAUUAUAUUAUAUUAUGAAAAAUUAAUUUAUGCUAAUAAUUAUAAUAUUUUAUAUCUUUAUUAUUAUAUUAUACUAUAAAUAUAAUAUAAUAUUACAUUAUAUCACAUUAUAUCAUAAUACUAUGUUAUGUUAUAUCAAAUAAUUUAAUAUUAUAUUAAAUUAUUAUGCUAUAGUAUGCAAUGUUAUAGUACUAUAUUAUAAUAAUAUUAUAUUACAUUGCAGUAAUGUUAUACUAUAUCAUAUAUUUAUGUAUUAAUACAUAUUAUAUUUUAUUAUACUCUGUUGUAUGAUACUAUGUAAUGUCCGUUACGGUCAUUUUGUCAUACCAAAAGUACUUUCUCAGUUUGUUUACCAAACACAUGUUAAAGUGCCACAACACUUUAAAAAUAUAGUUACCAAACAAUAUACAACUUUUUAUAAAAGCUCUACUUCAGAUAGCUCUGCUUCCAAUAGCUCUACUUCCAAAAGCUCUACUGCCAACAACUCUUCCAAAUAGGGCCCAAGAUGAACUUGGAAUAGCCUACGCCUAAAAAUGGCAUAAGGUGGUUUUACUGGGCAUAUGGCCUAUUUCAAGUCUAUUCCCAUUUCGCAAAUACUAUUGGAGUUCCAAGUCCUGUGCCCCUGCCAAACACUACCUUGCUUUUAACCUUCUCAAUUCAUUAGCUGAGACACUUCAUGCAGUGAUAUUGGUUGCUUGUCCUGCACCCUAUUUCUCAUGGUUCAUACACAUUGGUAUGGAUUCACAAGAUCAUGUAUUUAGAACUCCUUAGCGCAUUAACGCACUAGUUUGAAAUCUGUGGUUUCAAGAAAACAACACUUUUUGUACCAGAUAAUGCAAAUUUUGCCUAUUAAAUGAAAAAAGAUUUAGAAACCAUUGAUUUGUCUCGGAAUUAUUAAAUGAUUUUAGUGGACAACUCUUGAACAAAGGAAGCAAAAAACAUUGUGCUUUCAAAUUCAGAAUAGUUCAGAUUUAGGACCUGAACUCAUGCUCUUUCUACAAAGCUUACAAAGUUGCUGAAUCAAAUACCAUAUGAUUGAUAUCUAUGCUUUAUUUUUUUACGAAAAAAUGUGUAACCUUGUUAUUUUGCUUGCAUUUUUUGUUAUUUUUAUCCAAAAUUCAUUUAUUGGAUCACAAGAUUCUUUUUAUAGUUUUGUAUAUUCUUUUAUAAUGGCUAAUUUGUUUAGGUUGUAGAGGAAGAGCUACAUAUAUUCACUUCAUCGUUGCUAAGCUUAUUAGCUGAAUUCAAUAUUCGACCCCCGAUGAUAAAUGCUUCCACAAUUGGUAGUGGUGCUAAGGUAACAAUCAUUUGGCUGCUAAUCUUCUAUAUUCAUCUCUCUCUCUCUCUCCUCCCUCUCCCCAUGGUCAUCAUGAGGGCAUGCCCUUAUUUGUUAAAAUAUGGUGCUUUCUUUGGUCCUUGCUAUACACAAGUAAAGCUGCCUAAGCUUGUUGUUGCUGCUCCUACUGGAAAAUUAUGCUUUGUAUUCACUUCCAUUUUUUUAAAUUUACAAUUAGCUGUGUUGCCCAAGGAGACAACCCAAUAGGGGGGUGAAUUGGGUUUUGAUUAAAUAUUGACCAAUUAAAAAUUAGGUGAGUGAUUAACUAAAUUUAUUGCAAGUGGAUUAGUUAGAUCACUAGAUGCAAUGAGUGAAGAGAGAGAAAGAGACAAAGACCAAUACAAACACAGAGAGGUUUAUAGUGGUUCGGAGCCAACACUUGCUCCUACGUCCACUCCCCAAGCCGCACUUGGGAGUUCACUGUAACCCUAGGAUUACAGCCGGUUGUUUUGCAAGCUCACAACCAAACUUGUUGUUUUCACGAGAUCACAACGAAGUCGGUCGGUUUUGACAGACUCACCGACUAGAACCAAACAAUUGUUUUUCCGGGGUGACAAUCAAACCCAGUUGAUUUUUCCGGUACACCAACCACAAUCUUACACCGUUGGUUUUAUCUUUGGCUGACCAACAAACCUUACAACCCUUGAUUCAAUCCUCUGAUUGAAUCAAGUACAAAAAGCAAGAGUUUGAAGUUCACAAGCAGAGCUUCUGAAAAGCAAAUAUGAAACAAUAUAAACAAGAUUGAGUUAGAAGCCCUCAAACAGAUUUGAGAUGAGAAAGUGGGGCUUCUCGAUUUCUGAAUUUCUUCUUGAAUGAGUCGGAGGAUGGGGAACAGUUGGUAGAGCUUUGAAUGCGAAGGAAGCCUUUUUGGUUUGAGUUGAAUGCACACUCCCUUCUUUUGCUUGGAUUCGCUCUUGAGAUGCUUUUGGUAGUUGAAAAUCUUUAAUGCUCAAAUGGAAUAACUCUCUUCUAUUCUACUACUGUUCACUUUGGCUAUUUAAGUGAUCCCCUUUGAAAAAUACCCGUUAGAGACUGAUUUGGAGCCGUUCUGACCCAUCUGCACAAUCUGACAAUGUAUCCGUUGGGAUCGGAGUCGACUCGCGCGAUCUGGAGUCGACUCGGCUGUUACUGGAGUCGACUCGUGCUAUACUGGAGACGACUCGACCACUGUUCCAAAUUUGAAUUAAAGUGCAUGCCUUGUCCUGAAGUCGACUCGGACCAAACUGGAGUCGACUCGCCAACAGCUGGAGACGACUCGGGCACUUAGGAGUCGGCUCGUUCUCAGGAAUCCAGAUAGCCCAUUUUCUGAUUUUCUUCCUCGAGUCGACUCGGGUUAACUUGGAGUCGACUCGGCUGACUUGAGAGGCGACUCGAGAUCUUCGGAAGACGUCUCGCUCUCAGAGACCGAAAAAUUGAUUCUCUGUCUUUUUGAACUGAUCUGCCUCGGAGUCGACUCGGGCCUCGCUGGAGUCGACUCGACUAAUCUUGGGAGUCGACUCUGGAUCCAGUGGAUACAACUCGAUAUCAGGUCCUCAAAAAUCAACUCUGCUGUUUUCACUGUCUUCUUCCGGGAGUCGACUCGGGACCAUCUGGAGUCGACUCGCCAAGCACCGGAGUCGACUCGCAACCUUUUGGAAUUGACUCGCUCUCAGGGUCGAAAAUCCAACGUUUUGUUUUCUGUCUGUUCUCAGUGGAGUCGACUCGGGACUAUCUGGAGUCAACUCGCCAAGCACCGGAGUCGACUCGCUCUCAGGGUUGAAAAAACGGUCUUUUGUCUUUCUAUCGGAGUCGACUCACUCUCAGUCGGAGUCGACUCGAGUGCGUGCCGGUUCCAGAUUUUGUGCCGGAGUCGACUUGGGAAAUCCAGGAGUCGACUCGAGUGCAGGGCACAUACAAGAAUGAUUCAAAUGAAGUCUGAACUUUAUCCAAAUGCUUUAAACUAUGUUUUACCCUGAAACACUCAAUUGAAUUCAUUGGAAUAACAAAAAGUAUGCUCAAGUGUUUUGGAUUCAUCAAAAUCAAUUAGAGAAACAAAUCAAUCACUCCACAAGCUGGAUCAUGUUUUAUGUAAUAUUAAUAUGCAGUCACCAUAUGAAAUGUUUUUAUGGAAAUUACACAAUACUGUGAUACAGUCAACCUGUACUCUUGAGAUAAAUGAUUUGUUUUCCCAUUUGAAAUGACCUUUUUCUGUUACUCUUUUUACAUUUCUAUCCAUUGUCUCAACUAGUCGCCUUCCUGCAUAGCUGUGUUUUGCUAGUUCAAUCCUUAAAUAGGACUGCUGAUUGCAUGCAUUGUGUCUAAUUAUGAUAGAGUUUAUUUUGUAAGGUAAAGUUAUCUAUUGUUGCUGUCUCCUUUAAAAUAUAAGUACCCAUUUAAUCUUUAUUACUUUCUUCCAUAAUUUGGUGUAGCUUUAUCUUUCACAUUUCAAAUAACUAUGACUUGUAAAAUUUUUGAUCCAAUUGUUUGUAAGACUAAAUUUUGUUUUAAUAAUUCUUGGAUUCAGUCUUUUGUAUCAUGAGUACAAUAAUUGAUGAUGAUUGUUGCACUUAGAUAUUUGACAUCUUUUUUGGUUGGUGUUUACAGCGUUUAUACCAUCAUAUGCACUGGAAGAUAAGAUCUGCGAAUGUAAGUCAGCCAUCUUGUGAUCUCCUCAAAGUCAUUCUUAAACAAGAUCACAGUUGUGAAAUAAAUAUGGAGUGUCUACAUCAUACCAGGAAAUUGAUUAUGAUGGGUUUAUUUAUAAUUGUGCCUUCAGAGAUCUGUAGCUUGUACCUUACUAUUUAAGCUGCUUUUAUUCAAAUGCAGUUUGGUCUACGGUUCCAUGUAGUUAACUAUAAUCUUUCCUGGUGGGUUUCCUUUUCUGUUAUUGAGUAAUUGGACAUUCUUGAAUAGUUUUACAUACACAUCGUGAUGUGUCAAGUUGCUAAGAGUAUCUGAGUGGGCGAGAAGGAUAUAUAUAGUGUCUUUAUUCACACCAAGCUAAAACUUGUCUCCAGAAUACCCACAAGAAAGUAUCUGUAUGUCUGUGUUACGUCUAUAUAUAUGUACUUGCAUGAAUAUAUGGACAUAUGCACAUACUUGAGGGAUUCUAGAUGCCUGUGUUAUAUAUAGUGCAUUUUGUGUAUUUGUCUUCAUAUCGUGUUAUAUUACUUGUGUGGUCCUCUCACCAAGCUGAAAAUGAUCUAUUGGAUACCAUGAAGAAAGUAUGUGAUACGUCUUUUUUAUGUAUAUAUGUAUGCAUUUGCAUGAGUACGAGGUUCUCUUCAGAUUGGUGAUAAUACCCCACAAAGUACUAACAUACUAUACAAAGACCAUACAUCGAAAUGCACUAUACACUAAAUAUUGGCUAUUAAAAAUCAAAGAAUAAUUCCAGACACCAUAGCAGGUUGCCAAGGUCCAUGACAUGAUAGAGGAGCGCUGAAAUUUCACAGCAACAGCCAGAGUUCUCUGAAUAUACGUCACGUAUGCUAAAAUGGAUUUACACUAUACUGAUGGUAAAAUUUGAAAAACACAGGCAAAAAUCAAUGAAUUGCUUAUUCCCUUUGUGAAAAUGUAAGGUGUAUUAUGAAAUUAAUAGUAUGCACCAUGGUCUGCCGUAUCGGUCGGUACGGGCCGGUACCGGAUCCUACCGGUACGGUAUAGCUACAUAUUUCGGUACCGAACUGUACCGGUCCGUACCGAUGCGUACCGGCCCGUACCGACCGGCACAGGCCCGAACCGACCAGUCCGUACCGGCUUCUAUUUUUUUUUGGCUUUUAGCCCCAUCAGUACAGUACCGGUUUGGCUCGGUUUGGUUCGGUACCGUAUCGGUACCGAUGCCCACCGGUACGUCGGUACAGUCGGUACCGCGUACUUUGGUCUGCACCUUGCUUUUCAAUAGCAUAUUUAAAAUUUGAAUUUGGAGAAUCCUAAUAUAAUGACAAGCUGAAACAUUGUCAUCAAGUAAGAUGGUCUUAAAGUAUAAUUUAUGUUAGAAAUAUAAGAAUAUAUGUUAUGGAUAUGCAAGGUCCAUUGCAUUUCUUUGUAUGUUGGUUUGCUGCUACUUUUAUUGCAAAUUGUUAAAUCAUUGACUAGUUACUCUAGUAUUGUAAUUGAUAGUGAUUAGAAUUUUCAAUCAAUUGAAUCAACUGCCAUUUUUCAUGCAGGCUGGUUUUGAUGAUAUAAACCAUCUGGUAGGAAAUCAACCUAGUAAUCUGACAGCCAGUUAUGGUCAUCAGCCCUCAAGUUCUUCAAAAAGUCAACUUUCUCAACCAUUCAUGGUAUUGUCUUCAUGG
Molecule: long non-coding RNA, 7309 nt
Filed under: Phoenix dactylifera (date palm)
Lineage: Eukaryota; Viridiplantae; Streptophyta; Magnoliopsida; Arecales; Arecaceae
Description: long non-coding RNA (PDAC_LNC002795)
Source: RNAcentral